CAGCAGCCGCGGUAACACCGGCGGCCCGAGUGGUGAUCGUGAUUAUUGGGUCUAAAGGGUCCGUAGCCGGUUUGGUCAGUCCUCCGGGAAAUCUGAUAGCUCAACGUAUUAGGCUUUCGGGGGAUACUGCCAGACUUGGAACCGGGAGAGGUAAGAGGUACUACAGGGGUAGGAGUGAAAAUCGUUGUAAUCCCUGUGGGACCACCUGUGGCGAAAGGCGUCUUACCAGAACGGGUUCGACGGUGAGGGACGAAAGCUGGGGGCACGAACCGGAUUAGAUACCCGGGUAGUCCCAGCCGUAAACGAUGCUCGCUAGGUGUCAGGCAUGGCGCGACCGUGUCUGGUGCCGCAGGGAAGCCGUGAAGCGAGCCACCUGGGAAGUACGGCCGCAAGGCUGAAACUUAAAGGAAUUGGCGGGGGAGCACAACAACGGGGUGGAGCCUGCGGUUUAAUUGGACUCAACGUCCGGACAACGUCACCGGGGGCGACAGCAAUAUGUAGGCCAAGCUGAAGACUUUGCCUGAAUCGCUGAGGAGUGGUGCAUGG
Molecule: ribosomal RNA, 546 nt
Filed under: uncultured archaeon
Lineage: Archaea
Description: bacterial SSU rRNA
Rfam family: Archaeal small subunit ribosomal RNA
Source: RNAcentral